Leptinotarsa decemlineata (Colorado potato beetle) is the source of this 860-nucleotide long non-coding RNA. RefSeq lists it as uncharacterized. NCBI's taxonomy places the organism in Eukaryota, Metazoa, Arthropoda, Insecta, Coleoptera, Chrysomelidae. The record is from RefSeq and is a predicted model, not a curated record.
AUUUCUGAAUAGAUUGUAAUAUUUAGUGAAAUUUGACACAUUCCUAAUUCUGUGAGCAAAGUACGAGUAAUAUCAACAUUGCAUUUUUUGUUGUUGAACUGAGAGUUGUCUGAGAAAAAUUUGGCCUCGAUGGCAGUUGGCGAGUUUCGAAAAGCGAAAUUCCUAUGCGACUAAAGAUGUAGACACAGAUUUGAUACCACGUGAUUGAAAAUUCCAUGAAGCAAAAUAUAUUCAACGAACGCUCAAUUCUAUUCGGAAUGACAAGUUGACAUUUAUGGUAUUAUUUGUUAUCACAAACAUCUUACUUGAGUUUCCGUUUCCCGGCAUAGAGUAUGGACAUUUUGCUCUGUUUGCCGAGGAAACGGAAGAUCAUGCCAUUAGCACGGGCUAGCAACAAUUUAUGAAAUCAAGAGGUAUUAAUAAAGAGUAAAGUAUUGUGUAAAAUAAAAGACCUCUGCACCCCCAGGACAAAGACAUAACAGGAAGAAAGCUAGUCAUAUAGCACCGAUAUUGGAAGCUGAGGCCAAGUGCCAAUAAAAUAAGGAAGAUAAGCUGACAAACACAAAGAAAGCGACUCCCAAUUUGGAUGAGUUUUGCAACAUGAUGAUCAAAUCAGGCUUGGAGGCGUUUCUUUCCUACAUAUAUACACCUACCUACCUCAGAAUAUCAGAAAGAAAUAUGAACAAUGGAGUUUCAAGUAGCAGGAGACAGUAUAGAGGAUGGGGAAAAGGGAGAAAGUGUGGUUUCGGAUAAUGGCGUUGGGAAUAUCUGAAAUAUGUUUUAUAUAUUAUGAACAAAAUAAUGCUGAAAUGAUAUUUGCUUAUAUCUAUUUGUUUGGUGAAUAAAAAUCAGAAAAAUUA